This 274-nucleotide ribosomal RNA is filed under the name uncultured bacterium. RNAcentral's name for it is "partial 16S ribosomal RNA". It matches the Rfam family "Bacterial small subunit ribosomal RNA", at positions 523 to 796 of the family's 1533-position model. The record is from RNAcentral.
AUACAGAGGGUGCGAGCGUUAAUCGGAAUUACUGGGCGUAAAGCGCGCGUAGGCGGCUUGGUCUGUCGGAUGUGAAAGCCCCGGGCUCAACCUGGGAAUGGCAUUCGAUACUGCCAGGCUAGAGUAUGGGAGAGGGAAGUGGAAUUUCCGGUGUAGCGGUGAAAUGCGUAGAUAUCGGAAGGAACACCAGUGGCGAAGGCGACUUCCUGGCCCAAUACUGACGCUGAGGUGCGAAAGCGUGGGGAGCGAACAGGAUUAGAUACCCUAGUAGUCC